This 74-nucleotide transfer RNA is filed under the name Fasciola gigantica. It matches the Rfam family "tRNA". From Rfam's summary of the family: Transfer RNA (tRNA) molecules are approximately 80 nucleotides in length. Lineage: Eukaryota; Metazoa; Platyhelminthes; Trematoda; Plagiorchiida; Fasciolidae. The record is from Rfam by way of RNAcentral.
GCCGCGAUAGCUCAGCUGGUAGUGCAUCUGCCCGUCAAGCCGAACUUCGCCCGUAUCGAUUCCGGCUCGCGGCA